GACGAACGCUGGCGGCGUGCUUAACACAUGCAAGUCGAACGGUAAGGCCCUUCGGGGUACACGAGUGGCGAACGGGUGAGUAACACGUGGGUGAUCUGCCCUGCACUUCGGGAUAAGCCUGGGAAACUGGGUCCAAUACCGGAUAGGACCACUGCCUGCAUGGGUGGGGGUGGACAGCUUUUGCGGUGUGGGAUGGGCCCGCGGCCUAUCAGCUUGUUGGUGGGGUGAUGGCCUACCAAUGCGACGACGGGUAGCCGGCCUGAGAGGGUGACCGGCCACACUGGGACUGAGAUACGGCCCAGACUCCUACGGGAGGCAGCAGUGGGGAAUAUUGCACAAUGGGCGCAAGCCUGAUGCAGCGACGCCGCGUGAGGGAUGACGGCCCUCGGGUUGUAAACCUCUUUCAGCACCGACGAAGCGCAAGUGACGGUAGGUGCAGAAGAAGGACCGGCCAACUACGUGCCAGCCGCCGCCGUAA
RNAcentral lists this ribosomal RNA (478 nucleotides) under uncultured bacterium. Its description in RNAcentral is "partial 16S ribosomal RNA". It matches the Rfam family "Bacterial small subunit ribosomal RNA", at positions 28 to 523 of the family's 1533-position model. The record is from RNAcentral.